GACGAACGCUGGCGGCGUGCUUAACACAUGCAAGUCGAACGGAAAGGCCCUGCUUUUGUGGGGUGCUCGAGUGGCGAACGGGUGAGUAACUCGUGAGUAACCUGCCCUUGACUGUGGGAUAACUUCAGGAAACUGGGGCUAAUACCGGAUAGGAGCUCCUGCUGCAUGGGGGGGGUUGGAAAGUGUCGGCGGUUGGGGAUGGACUCGCGGCUUAUCAGCUUGUUGGUGGGGUAGUGGCUUACCAAGGCUUUGACGGGUAGCCGGCCUGAGAGGGUGACCGGCCACAUUGGGACUGAGAUACGGCCCAGACUCCUACGGGAGGCAGCAGUGGGGAAUCUUGCACAAUGGGCGGACGCCUGAUGCAGAAACGCCGCGUGCGGGAUGACGGCCUUCGGGUUGUAAACCGCUUUCGCCUGUGACGAAGAGUGAGUGACGGUAAUGGGUAAAGAAGCACCGGCUAACUACGUG
RNAcentral lists this ribosomal RNA (468 nucleotides) under uncultured bacterium. Its description in RNAcentral is "partial 16S ribosomal RNA". It matches the Rfam family "Bacterial small subunit ribosomal RNA", at positions 28 to 507 of the family's 1533-position model. The record is from RNAcentral.